This is a long non-coding RNA of Mercurialis annua (annual mercury), 2027 nucleotides long. RefSeq lists it as uncharacterized. The record is from RefSeq and is a predicted model, not a curated record. The transcript is spliced from 3 exons. NCBI's taxonomy places the organism in Eukaryota, Viridiplantae, Streptophyta, Magnoliopsida, Malpighiales, Euphorbiaceae.
UUUUGUAUUAUUUGGUCCCUCUACUUACCUAUUUUUGAUUUUCAGGUCCUUUUUGAGUUUUUUCCAGUCCCUCUACUUACAAUUUUUGUUUCCUCCAGUCCCUCUACUUUCAAUUUUUGUUUCCUCCAGCCACACAAAAGGACCGGAAAAAACUCAUAAAGGACCUGAAAAUCAAAAAUAGGUAAGUAGAGGGACCAAAUAAUACAAAAAUAAAGUAUAAGGACCUACGGAAAAAAAUGUGUAAAGUACAAGGACCUCUAUAUGGGUUAGGCCUUAUUAUUACUAUUCAUCUUUUUAUUUUGGCAUCAGAAUGUUGCAAAUUUUAUUGUUUUUAGCUGGUUUGUGAUUAGUAUUGAGUGUGUGAAUGGAGCAUCAACUAUAAAAAUGGGAAACAUGUCAAAAAUAGAAGAUGCAGUGAACUUUCAUGUUUAUUAUGGAUAAUUUUCAAUUUUCACGUUUAUAAUGGACAAUUUCAGUGAAUUUACAGUGAAAAUAGAAGUUGCGGUGAUUAAGUAAUGAGUAUUCUCUUGCAUUUGAGUGGAGGAGCAUAAUCGUUAUGAAAGUCCAAUUCUUUCAUGAUAGAAUCCCAAUCGAAAUUCUGCAACACAUUGAUCAAGAAAGGAUAAGUUAAAGACGACGACACUGAGUUGCCGGAACUAGAACUUGGCUGUAAAGCAGACAGAAGAAACCACCGCGACAGGCGGCAGUGAACCCAGACGCAUAGUUAAGAAGCUCGGGCUGAAUUUUGGAAGCAAAGACAUAAAUCUGAGAAAGCCAUCACCAAGAGAUGAUAACUCAGAUGGGCAACCGUUCUCCUCCUUCGUACAAAAGAUCAAAAAAAAUGGAAAACCAAUGAGAAACGGCUUCCACUGCCACAAAUAAACUUCUUCCGCUGCCGAUUGGUGAGAAACACGGCUGGAGAUGAAAGAACGUCUGAUGCCGCCGUUGAUCGAGAUCUCACUGCUACCGGCGAAAAAAGCAAACGCUGCAAAGAUCUGCCGAACGUCGCCGCCACUUGUUGGGGAAAUUGAAAACAUAUUUGAAGUGGGUUUUCAGAGAGGAAAAAUGGGUUGAUGUUAGUUCCGGCUGGAUUUAUGUUAGUUCCGGCUGGGUUGUUGAGGUGUUGUUGGUGAGUAAAACUCCAACACGUGAAUAGUUUCAGGGAAGAAGAUGAUGGCAAAUUAACAAUUUAAAAUUCAAAUUUAUUUUGUUUUACAUUUAUUCAUUAAGUUAUGAUUUUAUGUGAUAUAAGUCCUAAAAAUUAGUGCCAUGUGGACCUCAACAUAUGGGAAGGAAUGCCACAUCACCUUUUUCUGUUAAAUAACGGAGAGUGAAUUACACUUUCCAUUUUCCGUCCACGUAAGGGUAUUAAAAUCGGGAUUUGGUAAGUAUAGGGACCCGAAUGUGAACAACUUUGGAGUAGGGACCUCUCGCAGAAAACUUGUAUAGUACAGGGGCCUCCGUAUGGGUUUUGCCUAGUCUUUAUUGUGAUGAAAAACGAUUCAGUUUCAUGUGGUUGAAAUCUAAUAUAUCGGUUCUCGAAUUCGAUUUUAUUUUUCUGAAUGUCUUAGUGUUAGCUUGUUGCUCUUCAUGCUUCGCUUUGCUCCGACGAUUGAGAGCUCGGCGGAACUUGUUGCUGCUCUUCCUAUUUCACGGUGCUCCGGCGAUUGAGAGUCCGGCGGAGCUUGUUGUUGCUUUUUCCCACAACUGAAAGUGUGUUUAGUGGUGAAAUAUUUGAAGUGGAGAGGCUAAUUGGUGCGUUGGAAGGGGUAUGGUCCAAGUGAAGACACUUGAGAGCCUAUUGAAGGCAUGAGGGAGAUGUUGAUUUUAUUCGUGGAGGCCCUCCAUGUCAAGAAAUCAGUGGCUUUAAUCUAUUCAGGAACACAAAAGCUCCCUUAGAUGAUCCCAAGGACCAUCAAAUGGUUAUAUAUAUGGAUGUUGUAGAGCAUUUAAAGCCAAAGUAUGUCCUUAUGGAAAAUGUUGUGGACAUUUCAAAGAUAUAUUGACUAUGACUUCUUUUACAUUCA